GGAAACCAAGUCUGAAUAGGGCGCAAUUUAGUCGCUGCGAAUAGACCCGAAACCGGGUGACCUACCCAUGGUCAGGAUGAAGUUACCGUAAAAGGUAAUGGAGGUCCGAACUCACAUCUGUUGAAAAAGGUGGAGAUGAACUGUGGGUAGCGGAGAAAUUCCAAUCGAACCCGGAGAUAGCUGGUUCUCCUCGAAAUAGCUUUAGGGCUAGCGUUGUUAGGAGUCUAAUGGAGGUAAAGCACUGAAUUCCCUAGGGGGCCCACAAGCUUACCGAAGGAUAUCAAACUAAGAAUGCCAUAAAGAUACCAACAGCAGUCAGACUACGAGUGAUAAGACACGUGGUCAAAAGGGAAAGAGCCCAGACCAUCAGCUAAGGUCCCCAAGUGUAUGUUAAGUGGAAAAGGAUGUGAGAUUUCGAAGACAACUAGGAUGUUGGCUUAGAAGCAGCCAUACAUUCAAAGAGUGCGUAAUAGCUCACUAGUCGAGAGAUCUUGCGCCGAAAAUGUCCGGGGCUAAAACAUACCACCGAAGCUAUGGAAUUGAUCUUAGAUCAAUUG
RNAcentral lists this ribosomal RNA (557 nucleotides) under Holtiella tumoricola. RNAcentral describes it as "Bacterial large subunit ribosomal RNA". It matches the Rfam family "Bacterial large subunit ribosomal RNA", at positions 672 to 1227 of the family's 2925-position model. Lineage: Bacteria; Bacillati; Bacillota; Clostridia; Lachnospirales; Cellulosilyticaceae. The record is from Rfam by way of RNAcentral.